RNAcentral lists this non-coding RNA (21 nucleotides) under Caenorhabditis elegans. The record is from RNAcentral. Lineage: Eukaryota; Metazoa; Nematoda; Chromadorea; Rhabditida; Rhabditidae.
UAACUCGUUAGUCUUCCAAAA